AGUGAACGCUGGCAGUAUGCCUAACACAUGCAAGUCGAACGCCAGCACAGUAAGAGCUUGCUUUUCCGGGUGGCGAGUGUCGGACGGGUGAGGGAUACAUCGCAAUCUACUUUUUCGUGGAGGAUAACGUAGGGAAACUUACGCUAAUACCGCAUACGACCUACGGUUGAAAGCAGUGGAUCUUCGGACUUUGCGCGAGUGUAUGAGCCGAUGUCGUAUUAGCUAGUUGGCGGGGUAACGGCCCACCAAGUCGACGAUCCGUAGCUGGUCUGAGAGGAGGAACGGCGACACUGGAAGUGAGACGAGGGCCAGACGGCGACGGGGAGCAGGAGCUGAGUAUAUUGGACGAUAGGCGCAAGCCUGAUUGAACAAUAGCGGGUAGGUGAAGAAGGCCUUCGUGUGUGAAAGCUGUUUGUUUGGGGAAGAAAAGCUGCAGGUUAAAGGGCAGCUGUUAUGACGGUACCCAAAGAAUAAGCACCGGCUAACUACGUG
This 492-nucleotide ribosomal RNA is filed under the name uncultured bacterium. RNAcentral describes it as "partial 16S ribosomal RNA". It matches the Rfam family "Bacterial small subunit ribosomal RNA", at positions 29 to 507 of the family's 1533-position model. The record is from RNAcentral.